GACGAACGCUGGCGGCGUGCCUAAUACAUGCAAGUCGAGCGCAGGAAACUGACGGAACUCUUCGGAGGGAAGGCAGUGGAAUGAGCGGCGGACGGGUGAGUAACACGUAAGGAACCUGCCUCAAGGAUUGGGAUAACUCCGAGAAAUCGGAGCUAAUACCGGAUAGUUCAUCGGACCGCAUGGUCCGUUGAUGAAAGGCGCUCCGGCGUCACCUUGAGAUGGCCUUGCGGUGCAUUAGCUAGUUGGUGGGGUAACGGCCCACCAAGGCGACGAUGCAUAGCCGACCUGAGAGGGUGAUCGGCCACAAUGGGACUGAGACACGGCCCAGACUCCUACGGGAGGCAGCAGUAGGGAAUCUUCCACAAUGGACGAAAGUCUGAUGGAGCAACGCCGCGUGAGUGAUGAAGGUUUUCGGAUCGUAAAACUCUGUUGUAAGGGAAGAACACGUACGAGAGGGAAUGCUCGUACCUUGACGGUACCGUACGAGAAAGCCACGGCUAACUACGUGCCAGCAGCCGCCGUAA
This 524-nucleotide ribosomal RNA is filed under the name uncultured bacterium. RNAcentral describes it as "partial 16S ribosomal RNA". It matches the Rfam family "Bacterial small subunit ribosomal RNA", at positions 28 to 523 of the family's 1533-position model. The record is from RNAcentral.